AGUCGUGUUGCUUGAUAGUGCAGCACCAAGUGGGAGGUAAACUCCUUCUAAAGCUAAAUACCGCCAUGAGACCGAUAGCGAACAAGUACCGUGAGGGAAAGUUGAAAAGCACUCUGAAUAGAGAGUCAAAGAGUACGUGAAACUGCCUAGGGGUGCAAACCCGUUGAACUCAAUUAUCCGAGCGCCGAUAUUCACCCGGGGGCUAACCCCCCCCGGGGCACUUAUCGCGCGCAGCACGCGGACAUCGCGAUCCAUUACGGGAAGCGCGCGAGCGACUCGAACGCAUCGUAACCAGCAACCCUGGCCCCUGGCUCGCGUGGUCGACCUCCCAUUCGUAGCGGCGUUCAGUUCUGAAGGCCUUCGCCGCGAACGGAGGAUGGCGGACCACCGGUCUUCGGACCGGCCCGCCGCAUCGACCGAGCCCCGGUGUGCCGUCUGGUAGCGUGAUGGACUCCACAGCGAAACGGGUCGGCCCGGGUCCAGCGCGUAUGGGUUCCGCCCAUACACCGCCACCUGGCCACGGGCAAUCCAGCCCGGGCAGUAACAUGCGGCCCCGAUCGGCGAUGCAGAACAAACCGAAUUGAGGUAC
RNAcentral lists this ribosomal RNA (589 nucleotides) under Anopheles squamifemur. Its description in RNAcentral is "eukaryotic LSU rRNA". It matches the Rfam family "Eukaryotic large subunit ribosomal RNA", at positions 263 to 616 of the family's 3401-position model. The record is from RNAcentral. Lineage: Eukaryota; Metazoa; Arthropoda; Insecta; Diptera; Culicidae.